Molecule: ribosomal RNA, 492 nt
Filed under: uncultured bacterium
Lineage: Bacteria
Description: partial 16S ribosomal RNA
Rfam family: Bacterial small subunit ribosomal RNA
Source: RNAcentral
AGUGAACGCUGGCGGUAGGCCUAACACAUGCAAGUCGAACGGCAGCACAGUAAGAGCUUGCUCUUACGGGUGGCGAGUGGCGGACGGGCGAGGAAUACAUCGGAAUCUACUUUUUCGUGGGGGAUAACGUAGGGAAACUUACGCUAAUACCGCAUACGACCUACGGGUGAAAGCAGGGGAUCUUCGGACCUUGCGCGAUUGAAUGAGCCGAUGUCGGAUUAGCUAGUUGGCGGGGUAAAGGCCCACCAAGGCGACGAUCCGCAGCUGGUCUGAGAGGAUGAUCAGCCACACUGGAACUGAGACACGGUCCAGACUCCUACGGGAGGCAGCAGUGGGGAAUAUUGGACAAUGGGCGCAAGCCUGAUCCAGCCAUACCGCGUGGGUGAAGAAGGCCUUCGGGUUGUAAAGCCCUUUUGUUGGGAAAGAAAAGCAGCAGGUUAAUACCCCGCUGUUCUGACGGUACCCAAAGAAUAAGCACCGGCUAACUUCGUG